GCCUUGUUAGCUCAGUGGAUAGAGCGUCCGUCUACGGAACGGAAGGUCGGGGGUUCGAAUCCCUCACAGGGCAC
RNAcentral lists this transfer RNA (74 nucleotides) under Arthrobacter phage Racecar. RNAcentral describes it as "tRNA-Arg". It matches the Rfam family "tRNA". Rfam says of the family: Transfer RNA (tRNA) molecules are approximately 80 nucleotides in length. Their secondary structure includes four short double-helical elements and three loops (D, anti-codon, and T loops). The record is from RNAcentral. Lineage: Duplodnaviria; Heunggongvirae; Uroviricota; Caudoviricetes.